UACUAACUCUGGCGGCGUGCUUAACACAUGCAAGUCGAACGGAAAGGCCCUGCUUUUGUGGGGUGCUCGAGUGGCGAACGGGUGAGUAACACGUGAGUAACCUGCCCUUGACUUUGGGAUAACUUCAGGAAACUGGGGCUAAUACCGGAUAGGAGCUCCUGCUGCAUGGUGGGGGUUGGAAAGUUUCGGCGGUUGGGGAUGGACUCGCGGCUUAUCAGCUUGUUGGUGGGGUAGUGGCUUACCAAGGCUUUGACGGGUAGCCGGCCUGAGAGGGUGACCGGCCACAUUGGGACUGAGAUACGGCCCAGACUCCUACGGGAGGCAGCAGUGGGGAAUAUUGCACAAUGGGCGGAAGCCUGAUGCAGCAACGCCGCGUGUGGGAUGACGGCCUUCGGGUUGUAAACCGCUUUCGCCUGUGACGAAGCGUGAGUGACGGUAAUGGGUAAAGAAGCACCGGCUAACUACGUG
This 468-nucleotide ribosomal RNA is filed under the name uncultured bacterium. RNAcentral's name for it is "partial 16S ribosomal RNA". It matches the Rfam family "Bacterial small subunit ribosomal RNA", at positions 29 to 507 of the family's 1533-position model. The record is from RNAcentral.